UACAGAGGGGGCAAGCGUUAUUCGGAAUUAUUGGGCGUAAAGGGCGCGUAGGCGGCAUCGCAAGUGGAAGGUGAAAUCCCUCGGCUCAACCGGGGAACUGCGUCCGAUACUGGUGGGCUUGAAUCCGGGAGAGGGAUGUGGAAUUCCAGGUGUAGCGGUGAAAUGCGUAGAUAUCUGGAGGAACACCGGUGGCGAAGGCGGCAUCCUGGACCAACACUGACGCUGAGGAGCGAAAGCCAGGGGAGCAAACGGG
RNAcentral lists this ribosomal RNA (253 nucleotides) under uncultured bacterium. RNAcentral describes it as "partial 16S ribosomal RNA". It matches the Rfam family "Bacterial small subunit ribosomal RNA", at positions 524 to 776 of the family's 1533-position model. The record is from RNAcentral.